GAUGAACGCUGGCGGUAUGCUUAACACAUGCAAGUCGAACGGACUCUUCGGAGUUAGUGGCGGAAGGGUGAGUAACGCGUGAGAAUCUGGCUUUGGGUUCGGGACAACCACUGGAAACGGUGGCUAAUACCGGAUGUGCCGAGAGGUAAAAGAGAAAUUGCCUGAAGAUGAGCUCGCGUCUGAUUAGCUAGUUGGUGAGGUAAAGGCUCACCAAGGCAGCGAUCAGUAGCUGGUCUGAGAGGAUGACCAGCCACACUGGGACUGAGACACGGCCCAGACGCCUACGGGAGGCAGCAGUGGGGAAUUUUCCGCAAUGGGCGAAAGCCUGACGGAGCAAUACCGCGUGAGGGAAGAAGGCUCUUGGGUUGUAAACCUCUUUUCUUAGGGAAGAACAAAAUGACGGUACCUAAGGAAUCAGCACCGGCUAACUCCGUG
RNAcentral lists this ribosomal RNA (435 nucleotides) under uncultured bacterium. RNAcentral describes it as "partial 16S ribosomal RNA". It matches the Rfam family "Bacterial small subunit ribosomal RNA", at positions 28 to 507 of the family's 1533-position model. The record is from RNAcentral.